RNAcentral lists this long non-coding RNA (415 nucleotides) under Salvia miltiorrhiza (redroot sage). Its description in RNAcentral is "long non-coding RNA (SMIL_LNC005064)". Lineage: Eukaryota; Viridiplantae; Streptophyta; Magnoliopsida; Lamiales; Lamiaceae. The record is from RNAcentral.
CACCAUUUUAUUCUUCAAAUACUCAAUCAAAUUUUCAAUUUAUCCUAUCACUCGAAGUAUACGUCCCCUAAAGAUAAACAUUAUCAGUGCAAUGAUAAAAACUCACAUGCACAUACAGAUAUAUCAAAUAUUAGACAUAAAAUGUCCCCUUGGGAUGGCCUAGUGGUUGGGGUGGUUCCCUGUUAUCCAAGAGGUCAUAGGUUCGAGUACUCUCGGCCACAAUAACCACUAGGUGGGGUGUGUGUGGUUUGUAUUAUUUAUAAUGUAAUUUCAUCAAAAAAAAAAUAUUAGACAUAAAAAGAGGAAGUGAUAACAUACCAUCCAUGGUAGGGCACCAAGAUUGAAGAGUGAAGAAAAUGGCCAAACACACUAUUCAACUUGGGAUUGUUUGAAAAGCUUCCAUGGCCACUGCAUC